UAACGACCCAGUCCACUAGCAAUAAUAACUCGUUGGGCGUAGCCAACAGCCCAAAAUGCUUAAGCCCAGUUAUUAUUACUAGUGUCUAAGUCUCUUAUAAACCAAAUGAUAACCCCAUUCUCAUCCGAUGUGGGAUUAUUGGGGUGUCACAGACUUCCCCCGUUAAGGCCUUGACGUCCUCGUCAGUCCAAUCACACACAGCCCAAGAUCACCAGGCGAUGUGAGACUCGUCUCGCUAGCCUGUCAUCCAGACCUUGGCUCAGCCGAGACUCGCCACACAUGUCCAGCUGGUGAACCGGUUCUGAUACCAAAUGUAACGACCCAGCCCACUAGCAACAAUAACUCGUUGGGCCCAACCACCGGCCCAAAAUGCUUAAGCCCAGUUAUUAUUACUAGUGUCUAAGUCUCUUAUAAACCCAAUGACAACCCCUUUCCCAUCCGAUGUGGGACUAUUGGGGUGUCACAGGAGUGAAUGGCAAAUUGCUUACAUGUUUGGCUAUUGUAGGAUACAGCAGAAGUAUUCGAUUGUAUAUUUUGGGUGUCGCGUAAGUUUUUCUUCCGUUGAGGAAAACCGUAACGAAAAAUCUGAUUGUGAUUAAAAUCUAACUAAUUUUGUGAUAAAAUUAAUAAAUUCAACUUAUAGAUGAUCGCUAAAUCCCAAAAAAAUUAUGGAAGAAGAAUGCCAAAAUAAUUGAUCUGGAAGCGUGCGAGGCACUAUCCUAAGGCGUAUUCCCGUCCUUCAUGCAGGAUUAAUGGGAAACACUCCCGUCCUUCAUGCAGGAUUAAUGGGAAACACUGCCCCAAAAUACAAUCGGAAUUUCUCCUUCCUGUGAGCACGAUCGUGGAGAAGGUUGACGGGGCUUCUUUCAACAUCCAGUGAUAAAACGAUCAAAUGAAGUGGAUAAAAUUAGUAAAGAGGAUAUUAAAAUUAACUCUUGAAAACUAUCCUGUCAAUCAACAGCUCACAUUCAUGUAUUCAUUCACAUGAACCAGAAAGAGCUCCAUCCGAGCAUCAUAUAUAUGAUGAAGUAAUUAGAGCGUUGGAGGUCCAACGUUCUACUGGAAACGGCCGCGCGUUGGGCGCGUGAAUGUGCGAGGAGUGGAGCGCGCACGGAGCCGGUGCGCACGACGUGCAAAUCGAAACGUGCGCAAAGAAAUCUUCAGUUAACAAUAAAUUAAGUUUAAAAAAU
This 1190-nucleotide long non-coding RNA is filed under the name Ananas comosus (pineapple). RNAcentral's name for it is "long non-coding RNA (ACOM_LNC039068)". The record is from RNAcentral. Lineage: Eukaryota; Viridiplantae; Streptophyta; Magnoliopsida; Poales; Bromeliaceae.